Mesocricetus auratus (golden hamster) is the source of this 2742-nucleotide long non-coding RNA. RefSeq lists it as uncharacterized. Lineage: Eukaryota; Metazoa; Chordata; Mammalia; Rodentia; Cricetidae. The transcript has 2 exons. The record is from RefSeq and is a predicted model, not a curated record.
UUUAAUUCCAGCACUAGAGAGGAAUAUAUGGUGGGAGGAGACAGGAGCUGAGGACAGUGUGCGGUUUGGUGGAGACAGAUGCAGUCUGAGGAACAGUACAGUCUGGAUAUCCAUUCUGAGGACAGAAUCGCCCUCUGGUCUGAGCAUUGGUAGAGAUAGUAGCUGGCCACUUUGUUUCUCUGAUCUUCAGCAUUAUCCUCAAUAUCUGACUCUGAGUUUUUGUUAUUAUUAAGACCAAAGAGAAUUAGUGCUACAGGCCAUUUUCAAAUUAUUUUCAAUCUUUCCGAGUCUUCGGUUUCCUUAACUGAAAAAUGAGGAUGAUAACACCCAGGGUUGCUAUUAGAUGUAUGCGGUGGUGCUUUUCAAUUUUAAAACCUUCUCUGUCUAUAUAUUAGUCAGUUAUGUUAUAUCACUUCACUUGAUCUUCGCAGUAACAUUUUCAUUUGGCAGCUGGCAUUUUUCAUUUUGCAUAUGAGGGAACUGAAGUGGAUCAGUGAAACACUAUUUGCCAUAGGUUACCUAGCUAGUCACCAGAAGUUUGAGGUUGUCUAGGUACUCUCUCCCACCACCAACCCCCAACCUGCUCCUCCCUUACAGCUCCAGAGGAUGAAGCAAUGUUAGGACACACAUGUCAUAGUCAUGUAGCUAAUGGAUGGAGACACAAAAUUUUUGAAGGGUUUUUGAUGUAUAAGGUAGUUUGGUUGGAAAAACUAAAUCAUGAUAGAAAGAAAUGGGCUAAAGAGUUAUUGACCUUGAGGCUAACCCUGUACUUGAAGUUUUGGCCCCUUUUAUAUCCUAAUAGGACAAUCUCAAUUGACAGAUCAUCUUUAUAUGCCACUGGACACCUUCAGCCUCCAAGAUUACCAGUAGCUGGAUCUGUUUACUCCAUAUUUACAAUUCUGCCUAUCAUCAAACAACUAUCAAACUCUUACUAAAUUUUUUGUUAUGGCUUCCAGAUGUCUGGCCAAAUAAACCUCUCUGAGCCUCCAUUUCUCCAUUCUGUAAAACUGGAUUGAUAAUAUCCCAGCAGGAAUUAAGCAAGAUGAUAAAAUAGCUGUUGGUGGGCUGUUGCUAGUGGAAACACCUGCUCCAACACCCCACCCUGUGUUUGAUGGUUUUUAUGCUCAUAGGAUGUCUGUUUCACAAUGAGGCAAAAGCACAGGAGUAUUCUGGGAAGUAUGGGCAGACAGAGUUGCUAUGCUGCCAGAGGAGAAACACCAUGCCAGGCAUUACCCGAAACAACUGGAAGGCACUUUGGAAACAUCAUUGAAAUCAUCAAACAAAAUACUGUAAAUUUGAAGGACAGAAAUGGCAUCAAGCAAGCCGGGCGGUGGUGGCGCAUGCCUUUAAUCCCAGCACUCAGGAGGCAGAGUUCGAGGCUGGGCUGGACCAACAGCUUCCAAAAUAAUACAGAGAAACCCUGUCUCGUAAAAACCAAAAAAAAAAAAAAAAAAAAAAAAAAAGGCAUCAGGCACCUAGUAAAAACUCAGUACACAUAAGCUCCUUAAAUUGAGUGCGCUUGAGUAUCAGGCAAAGAAACCCUCUGUUUAUGAGUCUUCUAAUGCCAUCUUUGCACUGAAUUAGUGUGUGUGUGUGUGUGUGUGUGUGUGUGUGUGUGUGUGUGUGUGUGUGUGUGUGUGUGUGUGUGUUCAGGAAGCAGCCAUUGGGACUAUCCUUCAUGGGUCUUCUUGUGAUUAUAGUAGUUUCUUUUUUUCUUUAAAGAUUAAAUCAUUUUUUUCUCCUUUCUGUUCAACAAAGACAACAGCCCUUUGGUUUUUGAUAAAUGUUUCUUUCCUUGUAGCAGGUGGGUUUGCCCCAGGCACUAAGAACUGUGCUUUUAAAACACACAGAAGCCCAGCUGUUUGUAUCUGCUGCAUCUUUUUUCUCCUAUUUUUUGCCCUGAAGGCUGGGUUUUCUCUGCUUUGGCAGGCUGAUAACAUGUGGAAGGGAGUGAACAGGUCUAACUAAUAGACUAAUUAGUGAUACAAGCCUUUAAUAACUGAGUAUAGGAAAGCCAUUCCCUACCCCCAAGUGAUUAAUUUAUUUAUUGCUGUUGUGCUGCAUUAGGGUAAACUAGUCAACUUCUAGCUAUUGGCAAAUUCAAUCAAUCCCCUUUCUUCAUUUCCUUCCUUUUCAUUUGCCACAGAGUGCUCAGGCAGUAUGGAAGAAUCAAUUCAGCUGACAGGCAGCUCAGGCAGAUGUGCUAGGACCCUGAUGUCACCAUUUCUCACACCAUUAGGAACUGUAGGAACUGUGAAAAUCCAGCUACUCUCAUGUGCUUGCUUUUUAAAGGCCCUUUCCUUGUGGCCCCUUCCACCGAUGGUUACAGCCUACCAUCUCUGUCUUUCAGAACCAGCCUACUAUGGGGCUUAAAACAUAUAUUGACAUUCAAUGGCCUGGAUUUCAAUCUAGGCUUUCUCACUGGUAGCAUAGAGGAUCUAAGACAAGUCCUUUCACUUCCCUGUGCCUCAGUUUUCCCACUUGUAAAACGUUGCUGUGAAACUCUUAUCUUUUGGUUAUGAUGUGGCCAUUGUUGUCUUGAAGUCAGAACAGCUGUAAUCAUCAUUCACAGUUGACCCUCACAAGAUCGGGCCCAGUAUAUGCCUAGUACACACAAAGAUAAUUUGAUGAAUGCUAGUAGAAUAAAUGAGUAGCAUAAUUGGUGAGUAGAUUAUGAAGCUUUGAAGUUCAAAGGGGGUGAAAAUAAGAAGAAAUGAAUAAUAAAUCAAAAUAAUAAAAGCC